GAGGGAGUAAGUUUGCAACCGGUUGCAAGACAGAAAAAUAACUCCCGCGGAGCCAAACAUUACAACCUAAAAAGCAACUACAACAACAUCCUAUAAAUCAACUCAAAAUUCAAAAUCAAUUAAAUUAGUGAAAAUUUUAAUUAAAAAAAUGGGGAAAUUAAAUUUUAAAUCACAAUAACACAAGUGUAGAACUUUAAUAAAAAAAUAAAACUCAAUCGACGAUCUCUACAUCAACAAAGCAACGGCGGCGAACAAUGCGAAGUUAGAUCCGGGACGGUAACUCUGUUCAUACCAGCAGCGUUGUCCGGAAUACCGGCCGGAGCACCGCCGGGAGUGGAGAUCGAGGACGGAGUAAGAACGCUAGUGGGAGAUACACCUGGAGCAGAAGUUGGAGGCGCAUGAGAAUAGGGAGAGGUAGGAGAAUUCGUCGGCGAGGGGAUGGGUGGGGACGAGCGGUGGGUGGUGGGGGAGUAGAGAGGGUUUGAAGAGUAAGAAGAUUAUAGUACGGGUUGAAGAGGAGAAAGGGGUUGAAGAGAGAUUAACUGAUUUUAGGAGAGAGAGAAGGAGGUGAGGUGACGGCUUAAGAGUAGUCCUC
RNAcentral lists this long non-coding RNA (595 nucleotides) under Daucus carota (carrot). RNAcentral's name for it is "long non-coding RNA (DCAR_LNC004899)". The record is from RNAcentral. Lineage: Eukaryota; Viridiplantae; Streptophyta; Magnoliopsida; Apiales; Apiaceae.